GAAAGUGCACUAUCAGACCCCUUGAGUCUGAACUCCUAAGAGUACCCGGGAACAUUGUGGUCCUUCGUCCGAAGUGAUCUGGUUCCUGCCAAGAUCUUUCAGAACAGACAACGCAAGUCUUACAGAAACCACUGAACCAGAGAUACACAGAAACCACUAUCAGCUGACCAUAACGGUGAAUCCUUACAACCAGGAUAUCAUGAACUGAUAAGAAAUUGGGAUCGGAGGAAAUUGGGAGAACAGUGGAAGGAGCCCUUCCCAGUAUUACUGACUACACCUACCUACAGUGAAGGUCGAAAAUGUUACUCAUUGGAUCCACCUAACAUAUUGCAAAAUAAUUGGAAACUGGAAAAAGGAAGUAUGAACUUGGAUGUCCUCCUGCAAGACUGGAGGUAAAAGGAAGCCAUAC
Molecule: long non-coding RNA, 409 nt
Organism: Amblyraja radiata (thorny skate)
Lineage: Eukaryota; Metazoa; Chordata; Chondrichthyes; Rajiformes; Rajidae
Exons: 2
Source: RefSeq, a predicted model, not a curated record